AAACACUAACCCAGCAACUGUUAUAGGCAUUAAAAUAGAAUCAAGGAAGUUCUCUGGUCACAGUUGUGCUCUGCUCUAAUUGUGAUUAUCAAUAUGUACAUAUGCAUGAACUCCUGAAAACUGCCUCUGCUCUCUUUGGAUCAUAAAGAUGCUUGUAACAGAUAUUGUAUUCUGCAGUGACUAUGUAGUUAGAUUUGAUUUAGUUUAGUUUAAUUGAUUUUACUAUAUUCUUUCAAUGUAUUUAGAAAGAAGUAAAUGCUUUUGCCAUUAUUUUAAGAUGUGUUUUUUGUUACCAUAUUAUGUAAUAUUCAAUUAUUGCAAUGUCUGAAAAAUAUCAACUACCAAAACUUGUAUUGGGUUUGAAUAAAGUUGCCAUUUAAGAAAUGGUGGCAAAAGCAAUUAAUUCUUUCUAAAUACAGUGAA
Long non-coding RNA from Sinocyclocheilus anshuiensis, 423 nucleotides. RefSeq lists it as uncharacterized. NCBI's taxonomy places the organism in Eukaryota, Metazoa, Chordata, Actinopteri, Cypriniformes, Cyprinidae. The record is from RefSeq and is a predicted model, not a curated record. The transcript is spliced from 3 exons.